RNAcentral lists this ribosomal RNA (254 nucleotides) under uncultured bacterium. Its description in RNAcentral is "partial 16S ribosomal RNA". It matches the Rfam family "Bacterial small subunit ribosomal RNA", at positions 524 to 776 of the family's 1533-position model. The record is from RNAcentral.
CACGUAGGGUGCGAGCGUUGUCCGGAAUUAUUGGGCGUCAAGAGCUCGUAGGCGGUGUGUCGCGUCGGCCGUGAAAACCUGCAGCUUAACUGUGGGCUUGCGGUCGAUACGGGCAUCACUGGAGUUCGGCAGGGGAGACUGGAAUUCCUGGUGUAGCGGUGAAAUGCGCAGAUAUCAGGAGGAACACCGGUGGCGAAGGCGGCAUCCUGGACCGGCAUUGACGCUGAGGAGCGAAAGCCAGGGGAGCAAACGGG